CCGGUAACUACGUAGCCAGCAGCCGCGGAAUACGUAGGUGGCGAAGCGUUAUCCGGAAUUAUUGGGCGUAAGACGCGCGUAGGCGGUAAAAGUAAGUACUGAUGUGAAAGCCCCGGACCGUCAACCGGGGAGGGUCGAUUGGAAACUGUUUUACUUGAGUACAGAAGAGGAGAGUGGAAUUCCAUGUGUAGCGGUGAAAUGCGCAGAGAUAUGGAGGAACACCAGUGGCGUCGACGCGGCCGCGGCCGCGUUGGAUUAGGUAGUUGGUGGGGUAAUGGCCUACCAAGCCGACGAUCCAUAGCUGGUUUGAGAGGAUGAUCAGCCACACUGGGACUGAGACACGGCCCAGACUCCUACGGGAGGCAGCAGUGGGGAAUAUUGGUCAAUGGGCGAGAGCCUGAACCAGCCAAGUAGCGUGAAGGAUGAAGGUUCUAUGGAUUGUAAACUUCUUUUAUAAGGGAAUAACGGACACUACGUCGUAGUGUUUUGCAUGUACCCUUAUGAAUAAGCAUCGGCUAACUCCGUGCCAGCAGCCGUCGACGCGGCCG
Molecule: ribosomal RNA, 548 nt
Filed under: uncultured Bacteroidota bacterium
Lineage: Bacteria; Pseudomonadati; Bacteroidota
Description: bacterial SSU rRNA
Rfam family: Bacterial small subunit ribosomal RNA (bases 138-548)
Source: RNAcentral